This 483-nucleotide ribosomal RNA is filed under the name uncultured bacterium. RNAcentral's name for it is "partial 16S ribosomal RNA". It matches the Rfam family "Bacterial small subunit ribosomal RNA", at positions 28 to 523 of the family's 1533-position model. The record is from RNAcentral.
GAUGAACGCUGGCGGCGUGCCUAAUACAUGCAAGUCGAGCGAACCACUUCGGUGGUGAGCGGCGAACGGGUGAGUAACACGUAGGUGAUCUGCCCAUCAGACGGGGACAACGAUUGGAAACGAUCGCUAAUACCGGAUAGGACGAAAGUUUAAAGGUGCUUCUGGCACCGCUGAUGGAUGAGCCUGCGGCGCAUUAGCUAGUUGGUAGGAUAAAGGCCUACCAAGGCGACGAUGCGUAGCCGACCUGAGAGGGUGAACGGCCACACUGGGACUUGAAAAGGGCCCAGACUCCUACGGGAGGCAGCAGUAGGGAAUCUUCGGCAAUGGGCGAAAGCCUGAUCGAGCAACGCCGCGUGAAUGAUGAAGGCCUUCGGGUUGUAAAAUUCUGUUAUAAGGGAAGAACGACUUUAGUAGGAAAUGGCUAGAGUGUGACGGUACCUUAUGAGAAAGCCACGGCUAACUACGUGCCAGCAGCCGCAGUAA